ACCGGAUGGACUGCUUGCAGUCCGAUCCGGGAUGGCUUCAGGUGCGGCAACGGAAAUGAGCAUGAAGCGACGCGUAAGCGGCGCGGGAAUGCGAAUUUCCGUUGAGCAUCGCGGGAGCACGAAGUGCGGAGCGAUGCGUGG
This 141-nucleotide small RNA is filed under the name bovine gut metagenome. RNAcentral describes it as "Clostridiales-1 RNA". It matches the Rfam family "Clostridiales-1 RNA", at positions 24 to 161 of the family's 166-position model. The record is from RNAcentral.